Molecule: ribosomal RNA, 500 nt
Filed under: uncultured bacterium
Lineage: Bacteria
Description: partial 16S ribosomal RNA
Rfam family: Bacterial small subunit ribosomal RNA
Source: RNAcentral
AUUGAACGCUGGCGGCAUGCCUUACACAUGCAAGUCGAACGGCAGCACGGGAGCAAUCCUGGUGGCGAGUGGCGAACGGGUGAGUAAUAUAUCGGAACGUGCCCAGUAGUGGGGGAUAACUGCUCGAAAGAGCAGCUAAUACCGCAUACGACCUGAGGGUGAAAGCGGGGGAUCGCAAGACCUCGCGCUAUUGGAGCGGCCGAUAUCAGAUUAGCUAGUUGGUGAGGUAAGGGCUCACCAAGGCGACGAUCUGUAGCUGGUCUGAGGGGACGACCAGCCACACUGGGACUGAGACACGGCCCAGACUCCUACGGGAGGCAGCAGUGGGGAAUUUUGGACAAUGGGCGCAAGCCUGAUCCAGCCAUGCCGCGUGCGGGAAGAAGGCCUUCGGGUUGUAAACCGCUUUUGUCAGGGAAGAAACGGCUCCUACUAAUACUGGGGGCUAAUGACGGUACCUGAAGAAUAAGCACCGGCUAACUACGUGCCAGCCGCCGCAGUAA